Molecule: ribosomal RNA, 503 nt
Filed under: uncultured bacterium
Lineage: Bacteria
Description: partial 16S ribosomal RNA
Rfam family: Bacterial small subunit ribosomal RNA
Source: RNAcentral
AUUGAACGCUGGCGGCAGGCUUAACACAUGCAAGUCGAGCGGGGUGAUGGUGCUUGCACUAUCACUUAGCGGCGGACGGGUGAGUAAUGCUUAGGAAUCUGCCUAUUAGUGGGGGACAACAUCUCGACAGGGAUGCUAAUACCGCAUACGUCCUACGGGAGAAAGCAGGGGAUCACUUGUGACCUUGCGCUAAUAGAUGAGCCUAAGUCGGAUUAGCUAGUUGGUGGGGUAAAGGCCUACCAAGGCGACGAUCUGUAGCGGGUCUGAGAGGAUGAUCAGCCACACUGGGACUGAGACACGGCCCAGACUCCUACGGGAGGCAGCAGUGGGGAAUAUUGGACAAUGGGGGGAACCCUGAUCCAGCCAUGCCGCGUGUGUGAAGAAGGCCUUAUGGUUGUAAAGCACUUUAAGCGAGGAGGAGGCUCUUUUGGUUAAUACCCAAGAUGAGUGGACGUUACUCGCAGAAUAAGCACCGGCUAACUCUGUGCCAGCCGCCGCAGUAA